Molecule: small nuclear RNA, 129 nt
Organism: Xenia sp. Carnegie-2017
Lineage: Eukaryota; Metazoa; Cnidaria; Anthozoa; Malacalcyonacea; Xeniidae
Product: U11 spliceosomal RNA
Exons: 1
Source: RefSeq, a predicted model, not a curated record
UAAAAGGGCUUUUACUGUAAAUAGUACGUUGGUCUGGCAACGGAUCGGCGCGGAAUCGCCAUCAAGAGAUUUCGGAAGCAUAAUAUUUGGCUCCCAGAGGCUGUUGGUCGCCACUGCGCCGACGCCCGU